This 505-nucleotide ribosomal RNA is filed under the name Cephalobus persegnis. Its description in RNAcentral is "SSU rRNA". It matches the Rfam family "Eukaryotic small subunit ribosomal RNA", at positions 88 to 590 of the family's 1831-position model. The record is from RNAcentral. Lineage: Eukaryota; Metazoa; Nematoda; Chromadorea; Rhabditida; Cephalobidae.
CGCGAAUAGCUCAUUACAACAGCUAUAAUUUACUUGAUCUUGACACAAUCCUACUUGGAUAACUGUGGUAAUUCUAGAGCUAAUACAUGCAUUAAAGCUCUGACCUCACGGGAAGAGUGCAUUUAUUAGAACAAAACCAAGCGGCUUCGGCUGUUUCUGGUUGACACAUAGUAACUGAGCUGAUCGCAUGGUCUUGCACCGGCGACGUGUCUUUCAAGUAUCUGCCGUAUCAACUUUCGAUGGUAGUGUAUCUGACUACCAUGGUGAUCACGCGUAACGGAGAAUAAGGGUUCGACUCCGGAGAGUUCGCCUGAGAAAUCGCGAACACAUCUAAGGAAGGCAGCAGGCGCGAAAAUUACCCACUCUCAGCACGAGGAGGUAGUGACGAAAAAUAACGAGACCGUUCUCUUUCGAGGCCGGUCAUCGGAAUGGGUACAAUUUAAACCCUUUAACGAGUAUCUAUGAGAGGGCAAGUCUGGUGCCAGCAGCCGCGGUAAUUCCAGCU